This 253-nucleotide ribosomal RNA is filed under the name uncultured bacterium. Its description in RNAcentral is "partial 16S ribosomal RNA". It matches the Rfam family "Bacterial small subunit ribosomal RNA", at positions 524 to 776 of the family's 1533-position model. The record is from RNAcentral.
UACGUAGGGACCAAGCGUUGUUCGGAUUUACUGGGCGUAAAGGGCGCGUAGGCGGCAAUUCAAGUCAUCUGUGAAAUCUCCGAGCUUAACUCGGAACGGUCAGAUGAUACUGCUUUGCUAGAGUGCAGAAGGGGCAACCGGAAUUCUUGGUGUAGCGGUGAAAUGCGUAGAUAUCAAGAGGAACACCGGAGGUGAAGACGGGUUGCUGGGCUGACACUGACGCUGAGCCGCGAAAGCUAGGGUAGCAAACGGG